UGCCAGCAGCCGCGGUAAUACGAAGGGACCUAGCGUAGUUCGGAAUUACUGGGCUUAAAGAGUUCGUAGGUGGUUGAAAAAGUUAGUGGUGAAAUCCCAGAGCUUAACUCUGGAACUGCCAUUAAAACUUUUCAGCUAGAGUAUGAUAGAGGAAAGCAGAAUUUCUAGUGUAGAGGUGAAGUUCGUAGAUAUUAGAAAGAAUACCAAUUGCGAAGGCAGCUUUCUGGAUCAUUACUGACACUGAGGAACGAAAGCAUGGGUAGCGAAGAGGAUUAGAUACCCUCGUAGUCCAUGCCGUAAACGAUGUGUGUUAGACGUUGGAAAUUUAUUUUCAGUGUCGCAGCGAAAGCGAUAAACACACCGCCUGGGGAGUACGACCGCAAGGUUAAAACUCAAAUGAAUUGACGGGGACCCGCACAAGUAGUGGAGCAUGUGGUUUAAUUCGAAGAUACGCGCAGAACCUUACCAACACUUGACAUGUUCGUCGCGACUCUAAGAGAUUAGAGUUUUCGGUUCGGCCGGACGAAACACAGGCGCUGCAUGGCU
Molecule: ribosomal RNA, 546 nt
Filed under: uncultured alpha proteobacterium kpj142f
Lineage: Bacteria; Pseudomonadati; Pseudomonadota; Alphaproteobacteria
Description: bacterial SSU rRNA
Rfam family: Bacterial small subunit ribosomal RNA
Source: RNAcentral